Molecule: non-coding RNA, 76 nt
Organism: Neurospora tetraspora
Lineage: Eukaryota; Fungi; Ascomycota; Sordariomycetes; Sordariales; Sordariaceae
Source: the annotation of a RefSeq genome assembly
GGUCAUGCUAGCUCGUUGGCUAUGAGCAUCUGUCUUGACGGGCAGAAGGUUCUGGGUUCGAUUCCCGGGCGGAUCU